AUUCUGGUGGCCUAGUGGUUAGAGCAUCUGCAUAAGAUGCAGGAGGUUGCAUGUUCAAACCCUGGUCAAGCCAAACUA
This is a non-coding RNA of Potamilus streckersoni, 78 nucleotides long. Lineage: Eukaryota; Metazoa; Mollusca; Bivalvia; Unionida; Unionidae. The record is from the annotation of a GenBank genome assembly.